GCGCAAUGGGCGAAAGCCUGACGCAGCGACGCCGCGUGAAGGAUGAAGGUCUUCGGAUUGUAAACUUCUUUUGUCGGGGAAGAUAAUGACGGUACCCGAUGAAUAAGCCACGGCUAACUCUGUGCCAGCAGCCGCGGUAAGACAGAGGUGGCAAGCGUUGUUCGGAAUUACUGGGCUUAAAGGGCGCGUAGGCGGUGGAGUAAGUCUGAGGUGGAAGAUUAGGGCCUAACCCUAAAAUUGCCUUGGAAACUGCAUCACUUGAGUCAGCGAGGGGAUGGCGGAAUUCCAGGUGUAGCGGUGAAAUGCGUAGAUAUCUGGAGGAAGGCUGGUGGCGAAGGCGGCCAUCUGGCGCUGAACUGACGCUGAGGCGCGAAAGCGUGGGGAGCAAACAGGAUUAGAUACCCUGGUAGUCCACGCCCUAAACGGUGGGUACUAGGUGUAGGGCUCGCAAGGGUUCUGUGCCGUAGGGAAACCAUUAAGUACCCCGCCUGGGGAGUACGGCCGCAAGGUUG
This 512-nucleotide ribosomal RNA is filed under the name uncultured bacterium. RNAcentral's name for it is "bacterial SSU rRNA". It matches the Rfam family "Bacterial small subunit ribosomal RNA", at positions 366 to 896 of the family's 1533-position model. The record is from RNAcentral.